This is a non-coding RNA of Macaca fascicularis (crab-eating macaque), 46 nucleotides long. Lineage: Eukaryota; Metazoa; Chordata; Mammalia; Primates; Cercopithecidae. The record is from Rfam.
UCAUAGGAUGUAUUCACAUCCAUAUAAGAGUUGAAUAAAGGUAAAC